This 454-nucleotide ribosomal RNA is filed under the name uncultured bacterium. RNAcentral describes it as "partial 16S ribosomal RNA". It matches the Rfam family "Bacterial small subunit ribosomal RNA", at positions 28 to 507 of the family's 1533-position model. The record is from RNAcentral.
GAUGAACGCUGACAGAAUGCUUAACGCAUGCAAGUCAACUUGAACUUCGGUUUGGGUGGCGGACGGGUGAGUAACGCGUAAAGAACUUGCCUCACAGUUAGGGACAACAUUUGGAAACGAAUGCUAAUACCUGAUAUUAUGAUUUUAGGGCAUCCUAGAAUUAUGAAAGCUAUAUGCGCUGUGAGAGAGCUUUGCGUCCCAUUAGCUAGUUGGAGAGGUAACGGCUCACCAAGGCGAUGAUGGGUAGCCGGCCUGAGAGGGUGAACGGCCACAAGGGGACUGAGACACGGCCCUUACUCCUACGGGAGGCAGCAGUGGGGAAUAUUGGACAAUGGACCAAGAGUCUGAUCCAGCAAUUCUGUGUGCACGAUGAAGUUUUUCGGAAUGUAAAGUGCUUUCAGUUGGGAAGAAAAAAAUGACGAUACCAACAGAAGAAGUGACGGCUAAAUACGUG